This 253-nucleotide ribosomal RNA is filed under the name uncultured bacterium. RNAcentral's name for it is "partial 16S ribosomal RNA". It matches the Rfam family "Bacterial small subunit ribosomal RNA", at positions 524 to 776 of the family's 1533-position model. The record is from RNAcentral.
GACGUAGGGCGCGAGCGUUGUCCGGAUUUAUUGGGCGUAAAGAGCUCGUAGGCGGCUUGUCGCGUCGUUCGUGAAAACCCGGGGCUCAACUCCGGGCUUGCGGGCGAUACGGGCAGGCUAGAGUUCGGUAGGGGAGACUGGAAUUCCUGGUGUAGCGGUGAAAUGCGCAGAUAUCAGGAGGAACACCGGUGGCGAAGGCGAGUCUCUGGGCCGAUACUGACGCUGAGGAGCGAAAGCGUGGGGAGCGAACAGG